AGCGCUGCCGGCGCUAUAUAAAGGGAAGCGAUUGUAAUAGUUUCGCCUACAGUUUUGAAUAGCUGACGCUAUAAAAUAUUCAUGGUUUACGACUUCGUACCUAUUUCAAGAAGCGUAUUCCAUAAAAGGUAGAAGAUGUAGCGACGCCUAUUCUGUUUAGCGAUUGAAAUAACAGAUAAAUUAGCUACAAAGGGUAAGGUUUAAUCGCUAGAUUUUGAUUCUAGUAACGGCGCAAGUCGUGGGAUUAUAUAGAUAUAUUAGCAAUAAUAUAACAAGUAGGGCAAUUUGGAUUAAGACGCUUGAUAAUAUAUAUAGCUGUAGAAGGCUAACUAUAAAUA
This 338-nucleotide non-coding RNA is filed under the name unclassified sequences. The record is from Rfam.